Molecule: ribosomal RNA, 253 nt
Filed under: uncultured bacterium
Lineage: Bacteria
Description: partial 16S ribosomal RNA
Rfam family: Bacterial small subunit ribosomal RNA
Source: RNAcentral
GCAAGUCGAACGAGAAAACUCUUCGGAGUGAGUAUAGUGGCGCACGGGUGAGUAACACGUAGGUGAUCUACCUAUUGGUGGGGAACAACAGGGAGAAAUUCCUGCUAAUACCGCAUAAUCUCUUCUAUUUUGGAUAUUGAAGAGGAAAGGGGGCUUCGGCUCUCGCCGAUAGACGAGCCUGCGGGACAUUAGCUUGAUGGUGGGGUAACAGCCUACCAUGGCGACGAUGUCUAGCUGGUCUGAGAGGAUGAUC